Molecule: transfer RNA, 68 nt
Filed under: Odoiporus longicollis (banana stem weevil)
Lineage: Eukaryota; Metazoa; Arthropoda; Insecta; Coleoptera; Curculionidae
Description: tRNA-Val
Source: RNAcentral
CAAAUUAGAGCUUGAUUAAAGCAUUUUAGUUACAUUAAAGAGUUUAUUGUAAAUUCAAUAUAAUUUGA